AGAGUUUGAUCCUGGCUCAGGGUGAACGCUGGCAGCGCGCCUAAAACAUGCAAGUCGAACGAACCUUCGGGUUAGUGGCAAACGGGUGAGUAACACGUGGAUAACCUACCUCAAAGUGGAGCAUACCCUCGAGAAAUCGUGGCUAAUACUCCAUAGUCUGUGGAAGUGAAAUUCAACCACAGUAAAGCUUUUGCGCUUUGAGAUGGGUCUGCGUCCUAUCAGCUUGUUGGUGAGGUAAUGGCUCACCAAGGCUAUGACGGGUAGCUGGUCUGAGAGGAUGACCAGUCACAAUGGCACUGAGACAUGGGCCAUACUCUUACGGGAGGCAGCAGUUAGGGAUCUUCCGCAAUGGGCGAAAGCCUGACGGAGCGACGCUGCGUGGACGAUGAAGGCCUUCGGGUCGUAAGGUCCUUUUCUGAGGGACGAUAAUGACGGUACCUUAGGAAUAAGCAUCGGCUAAUCAUGUGCCAGCAGCCGCGGUAAUACAUGGGAUGCGAGCGUUACCCGGAAUCACUGGGCGUAGAGAGUUCGUAGGCGUUUUUUCAAGUCGCUGAUUAAAGACCGGGGCUUAACUCCGGGAAUGUUAGCGAAACUGUAAGAAUAGAGUGUGGUAGAGGUGAGUGGAAUUCCUGGUGUAGCAGUGAAAUGCGUUGAUAUCAGGAGGAACGCCAAUGGCGAAGGCAACUCACUGGGCCAUUACUGACGCUGAGGAACGAAAGCGUGGGUAGCAAACGGGAUUAGAUACCCCGGUAGUCCACGCCGUAAACGAUGGAUACUAGAUGUCUGAUGCUCGACCCAUUGGGCAUCGCAGUUAACGCGAUAAGUAUCCCGCCUGGGACUACGAGCGCAAGCUUAAAACUCAAAGGAGUAGACGGGGACCCGCACAAGCGGUGGAACAUGUGGUUUAAUUCGACGAUAAACGAAGAACCUUACCAGGGCUUGACAUAUAGCUGCAAACUCUAGGAAACUAGAGUCUCCUUCGAGGGUGCUAUACAGGUGCUGCAUGGUUGUCGUCAGCUCGUGUCGUGAGAUGUCGGGUUAAGUCCCUUAACGAGCGCAACCCUCGUUCUGUGUUAAUUUUUCACAGAAGACUGCCGGUGUUAAAUCGGAGGAAGGUGAGGAUGACGUCAAAUCAGCAUGGCCCUUAUGCCCUGGGCUACACACAUGUUACAAUGGCCAGAACAAUGGGUAGCUAAGUCGCGAGACGGAGCUAAUCCCACCAAAUCUGGUCCCAGUUCGGAUUGGAGGCUGCAACUCGACUCCAUGAAGCUGGAAUCGCUAGUAACCGCAGGUCAGCUAUACUGCGGUGAAUACGUUCCCGGGUCUUGUACUCACCGCCCGUCACACCAUGGAAGCUGGUAUUACCCAAAACUCGCCUUUUUGGCGGACUAAGGUAAGAUCAGUGACUGGGGUGAAGUCGUAACAAGGUA
This 1430-nucleotide ribosomal RNA is filed under the name metagenome. Its description in RNAcentral is "bacterial SSU rRNA". It matches the Rfam family "Bacterial small subunit ribosomal RNA". The record is from RNAcentral.